This 120-nucleotide ribosomal RNA is filed under the name Bison bison bison. Lineage: Eukaryota; Metazoa; Chordata; Mammalia; Artiodactyla; Bovidae. The record is from RNAcentral.
GUCUCAGGCCGUAUCAGCCUGAAGGCGCCCGAUCUCGUCUGAUCUCGGAAGCUAAGCAGGGUCGGGCCUGGUUAGUGUCUUGGAUGGGAGACCACCUGGGAAUCCCGGGUGCUCGAGGCU